GAGCCAUUAGCUCAAUUGGUAGAGCAUCUGACUUUUAAUCAGAGGGUCAGAGGUUCGAAUCCUCUAUGGCUCACCA
RNAcentral lists this transfer RNA (76 nucleotides) under Staphylococcus aureus. Its description in RNAcentral is "tRNA-Lys". It matches the Rfam family "tRNA". Rfam says of the family: Transfer RNA (tRNA) molecules are approximately 80 nucleotides in length. The record is from RNAcentral. Lineage: Bacteria; Bacillati; Bacillota; Bacilli; Caryophanales; Staphylococcaceae.